Molecule: ribosomal RNA, 253 nt
Filed under: uncultured bacterium
Lineage: Bacteria
Description: partial 16S ribosomal RNA
Rfam family: Bacterial small subunit ribosomal RNA
Source: RNAcentral
UACGUAGGGGGCUAGCGUUGUCCGGAAUCAUUGGGCGUAAAGCGCGUGUAGGCGGUCCGGUAAGUCCGCUGUGAAAGUCGGGGGCUCAACCCUCGAAUGCCGGUGGAUACUGUCGGGCUAGAGUGCGGAAGAGGCGAGUGGAAUUCCUGGUGUAGCGGUGAAAUGCGCAGAUAUCAGGAGGAACACCAAUUGCGAAGGCAGCACUCUGGGACGUGACUGACGCUGAGACGCGAAAGCGUGGGGAGCAAACAGG